Molecule: non-coding RNA, 388 nt
Organism: Gossypium raimondii (Peruvian cotton)
Lineage: Eukaryota; Viridiplantae; Streptophyta; Magnoliopsida; Malvales; Malvaceae
Source: Rfam
AAAGCAAAUUGGUCUUUUCUAUUAAAAUUUCAUCCGUAACACUGUUUCGAUAAGGGCCGCGAGAGCAGUACCAAAUUGAGGCAAACUCUGAAUACUAGAUAUGACCUCAAAAUAAUAAGGGUCGAGGUUCGCUGGUGAGACGAUGGGAGAUAAGCUUCAUCGUCGAAAGAAAAAUAGCCUGGAUCACCAGCUAAGGUGCCUAAAUGACCGUUCAAUGAUAAAUAAGGUAUGGGUGCAGAGAUAGCCAGGAGGUUUGCCUAGAAGCAGCCACCCUUGAAAGAGUGCGUAAUAGCUCAUUGAUCAAGUGCUCUUGCGCCGAAGAUGAACUGGUACUUGAACAUUGGCUCAUGGCAUUUUCUCUACCCCUUCUUACCCUGAAAAAGCAGGG